This 320-nucleotide ribosomal RNA is filed under the name uncultured Prevotella sp. RNAcentral describes it as "partial 16S ribosomal RNA". Lineage: Bacteria; Pseudomonadati; Bacteroidota; Bacteroidia; Bacteroidales; Prevotellaceae. The record is from RNAcentral.
GGAGUUUGGUCCGUGUCUCAGUACCAAUGUGGGGGACCUUCCUCUCAGAACCCCUACUGAUCGUUGCCCCGGUGGGCCGUUACCCCGCCGGCAAGCUAAUCAGACGCAUCCCCAUCCCUUACCGAUGAAUCUUUGCUCCUCAUCUGAUGCCAUCAAAGGAGAACAUAGAGUAUUAAUCCGACUUUCGCCGGGCUAUCCUCUAGUAAGGGGAAGGUUGGAUACGCGUUACUCACCCGUGCGCCGGUCGCCAGCGACAAUAGCAAGCUAUCGUCCUGCUGCCCCUCGACUUGCAUGUGUUAAGCCUGUAGCUAGCGUUCAUC